Molecule: non-coding RNA, 125 nt
Organism: Brachypodium distachyon (stiff brome)
Lineage: Eukaryota; Viridiplantae; Streptophyta; Magnoliopsida; Poales; Poaceae
Source: Rfam
UUAUUACUCCCUCCAUCCCAUAUUGUUUGUCAAAAUAUUACAUGUAUCUAGACCCUUUUUAGGCAUAGAUACAUCCAUAUUUGGACAAAUUUGAGACAAUUAAUAUGGGACGGAGGGAGUAUUAC